GCUGUACAAACUCUGCCGUCUUCAUAUCCAAGAGGCAGGCUGCUGACCCACGUCAAUACCGAAGUAAAUGCCAGGGAUCUUUAGUUUGUGAAAGGCGGUGAGUUGUGACGACUGCUGUCCUGAGACCAUUGAGUGCAGUCUGGAAUAUUCCAAAUGUGUGCCAGUUCCAUAAGAAAAAAGUUCCAAUCAAGAGUACACUCACCAGUGGGCUCAAUAGUCCAGGACAAAGUCGGUCUGUCCUUCUACUACUACAUGCUACUUGACUUUGUCUGGAAGCCAUGGAUGCUGCCCUCAACAUGCUAAACCCUCACAAAUAAGCUGAUAUCAAGAAUUAACAUUGAUGGUGAUGAUGGAAAGGCCUUCAUAAGGU
Sardina pilchardus (European sardine) is the source of this 370-nucleotide long non-coding RNA. RefSeq lists it as uncharacterized. The transcript has 5 exons. NCBI's taxonomy places the organism in Eukaryota, Metazoa, Chordata, Actinopteri, Clupeiformes, Clupeidae. The record is from RefSeq and is a predicted model, not a curated record.